Molecule: ribosomal RNA, 498 nt
Filed under: uncultured bacterium
Lineage: Bacteria
Description: bacterial SSU rRNA
Rfam family: Bacterial small subunit ribosomal RNA
Source: RNAcentral
CGAACGCUGGCGGCGUGCCUAACACAUGCAAGUCGAACGAGAAAGGUCCCUUCGGGGACCCGGUACAGUGGCGCACGGGUGAGUAACACGUGGGUAAUCUGCCCUCGAGUGGGGAAUAACCCAGGGAAACUUGGGCUAAUACCGCAUAACAUCCCGACCUCCUUGGAGGAUGGGAUCAAAGCCGGGGAUCGCAAGACCUGGUGCUUGAGGAGGAGCCUGCGCCUGAUUAGCUUGUUGGUGGGGUAAUGGCCUACCAAGGCUUCGAUCAGUAGCCGGCCUGAGAGGGUGAUCGGCCACACUGGAACUGAGACACGGUCCAGACUCCUACGGGAGGCAGCAGUGAGGAAUUUUGCGCAAUGGGCGAAAGCCUGACGCAGCAACGCCGCGUGGAUGAUGAAGGCCUUCGGGUCGUAAAAUCCUGUCAAGUGGGAAGAAAUCCCCUCCGUGAAUAGCGGUAGGGGAGUGACUGUACCACUGGAGGAAGCCCCGGCUAACUCC